Anas platyrhynchos (mallard) is the source of this 4181-nucleotide long non-coding RNA. RefSeq lists it as uncharacterized. NCBI's taxonomy places the organism in Eukaryota, Metazoa, Chordata, Aves, Anseriformes, Anatidae. The record is from RefSeq and is a predicted model, not a curated record.
CCCCCCGGGGUGCGUCCUUUAACCCCCAGGGUUCAUCCUUUACCCCCCCGGGGUUUAUCCUUUCCCCCCUAGGGGUGCAUCUUUACCCCCCAGGGGUGCAUUUCCCCCCCCCCAGGCUGCAUCCCCCCACCCCCCCGCGGUGCAUCCCUAUCCCCCCCAUGCCUCUUCCCCCCCUGCGACCCCCCCAGGGUAUAACCCCCCCUCCCCAGCCCCCCCUUCAUAUGGGAUCCUCCUCCCCCAGGCAAGAUGUGUGCCGGAUCCCCCCCCCCAACCGCAGCAGGAUCCUGCCGGAUCCCUGCCCUCAGGCUGGAUCCCUGCCGCCCCCCCCGGCGGGAUCCCCCCCGCCGGAUCCCGCCCCCCCCCCCCCCCCGCGGGAUCCCCCCCCCGCCUCGGCCGCCCCGGGAGCCGCCGGGGGCCGCAUCCUGCCCCGCUGCGCUCCCGCAGCUCCCGCAGCUUGCGGAGGGCCAAAACUUACCCUAACGCAACGCCUAGAAACUAAACUCUGUGCGGGCACCGCAAACGAGCUCCUGGCUGCCUCCCGCUCGUUUUGCUGCUGUUUUAUUUUUAUCCUCACGCGUUUCUUUGGGGGCAUUUUUAUUAUUAUUAUUAUUAUUAUUUUUUUUUCCCUCUCUUUCAUUUCAUUUCAGCACUCGUCCAGGUUAUUUGAAUAGUCAGCUAAAUCUGAUGAAAAAAAAAAAUAAUAAAAAAACAACACAACAACCGUGCUGAGAUCUUACAGUCGCUCUGUUUUGUUCACAGAUAGGGAGCAGGGGGGAGCUGGGCGCUUUUUCCUGCCCCUGCCCUGCCCGGGGCUGGCUGCACGGCAGGCAGCUCGGGCGAGCAACGCGUGGUACCGAACUUCGCGGAGGUUACAAGUUUUUCACCUUUGCAAAGUAUUAAAAUUAAAAUAAAAUUGCAUCUAGAAAAAAAAAAAAAAAAGAGAGAGAGAGAGAGAAAAAAAAAAAAAAAGAGAAGAAGCCCAGACUCCACCUUUGCACUGAAGGGAUUGGUUAUGCAAAUAUGGAAGGGGUUUCCUGGCAAAUACAGCUUUCUACUGUAUGGUUAAUUAAAUCAUCACUCAAAAGCCUUCCAAUGUGACGCUUCUGUCGUAAUCCAAUCAGGUUACGUAGGUCCUAAACAAGAAAGAUAUUUUCCACAUCUGGAAGUCAGCAAUUUAGCAAGUACUGCACAUUAUUAACCAAUUCAGAGCCCACUUCCCAGGGGGAUUUUUUUUUGAAGUUUAAGUGUUCUUAACCAAUGCUCUGCUGUUUUGUUAAUCAAAAAGCUGGUUUACACUGCACGUAAUUGAGAACUAAUACAGAAGUAAGUCAGGCAGCCCAGGCUGGGGAUGCUGAGCGAGGCGGUUUAGUGCAAAGGGGCUGCUAUGGCUGAGCCUCAGCCGCUCCUGCCCGGCUCCCAGCACAACCCGCAGCCGCUUCUCCCUCUAAAAGGGCUUGAAAUGCUCUCCGUGCAAAGAUAAACUUCACGUCUUUCCUACUUGCGUGAUCCUUUCUGAAGGUAACCGUGGAGCUGCCCAAAGGGCUGUAUUAGGGAGCUGCGGAACAAUUUCCCUGCUUUGACAGAGUUAAAUCUAUUACAGCACUUUUUUUUUUUUUUCUUUUUUUUCCCUCCCUCCUGAAGAAAACUGAAACAAAUGGUACACUGAUCCGACACUAUACUUUUACUUACAUUAAGCUAAGAUAAACUGCUCUUGAACUGUGCAUUGAAUGUGUGCCUACAGCAAGAGCAGGAACGCGAGCAAUAGUCACUAGCAAUUGCACUCAAAAAUGCUGCUGAUCAGAGGACACCUUUCUGAUGAUUAAACACUGCAAAGGACGGCGGGGGUCCCCCAAGCCCCCCAACAGCAGCUCAUCCUCCCCACCGCGAUGCGAUUGCUAUUUUUCACCUCCUCCCCGAACCUAACCCUGCGAGCUCCAGGCAGGCGUCGGUGCCCCGGUGUGAUCCGGGUCUGGGGGAGAGGGGAGAGGCAGGGCAGGGGGCUGCCUCCGGGGGGGCUCAGCACAGCCCGGAGUGGGUCCGAGGCUCCCCACAGCCCCUCGCUGCCUGUCCCCCGGCCGCAGGUCCCUGCGCGGCAGGAGGAACGAGGGAAAAAGGCUGCGCCGACGGCUGCGCCCUACUUGCGCCCUAUUUGCGCCCUACUUGCGCCCUGCCCGGGCCGUGGGUCCGAGCGGCCGCGCAGUGCUUGGAGGCUGCUGCCGCCGAGCCCGGCAGCUGCGCAGAGGUGGGGACAAGGCUUUUCUCUUCGCUAUUUUAAUUAUGCACUUAUUUUAUUCCCCCUCACCCCCCUCGAUUCGCUAUUGUCAUUAUUCACUUAUUUUAUUUUAUUUUCCACCCCCCGGAUCUGAGUUAGCUUGGCUUUGCUAAAAGUUUUCUUGCCACUGCUGUCUAAAUGCCAACGCUGUUUUAUUAUUAUUAUUAUUAUUAUUUUUUUUUCUUGCAGGUUACAUGACUUGCCCAUGCCUAAAUAUACCUGUAGAUAGUCAUGUGCACAUACACAGGCACACAACGUGGUGAUAUCUUAAUGAAAUGUAUAGCACAGUGCAAAUAUCCUGAAAUCAGAUUCAAGUAUUAUUAAUUUGAAUUAGAUCCUCUCAGAUCCAGAAGACACUGCCUAUAAAUCAAGGGCAGUCUGGCAAUUCCUUAAAGAGCUAAACUGAAUUUAGAUGCAUAUGAUAAAAAGAAAGAAAAAGAAAAAAGUGAAUGCUAAUUACUGACUCGCUUGAUUUCCAGUUAUCCACAUUUUGUGUAAGAAAAAGCAACCAAAAACCCACAACACAAACAAGUUCUCAAAAUAAAUUAAUCCCAUUACAAAUGCCUUAAAUAUUAUUCAUAUGUUUCCAGAUUACAGAACGGGAGGAUGAACGGCAGAUUAAGAGAAGCUGCAGCCUAACCUGCAGUAGGAAGGAGUGCCACCGAUGUUGUAUCAUAAAACAUAUAUCAGCAGCUACACUAAAAAACAAACCCUCAGACCUGUGCGAUGAUGCUCACGGGCUUCAAGGAACAUUUGCAUUCUCCCAGGACAAAGACACGAAACUACUUAUUUUAUCUUGUCUCGCCCUUGAGUGAAAUCCUAUGCAUCUUUGGUCCAGAAUGGCUUCUCAGGGGAAGGAUUGUACAUCAUGAAGCUUCACACUCUCCUUAGACCUGAUGCCAAAAGAACAGAAAGGAAAGGGAAGGGGUCCUGCUCCCUUCUGUACUCCUGCGAAUGCAGCUCUGUCAGAUCACUCCAGCCAUUUCAUUACUCCGUAAAUGCAACACUUUCUGAAGGAAAUUCACUGUUGAAUUAAGGGGGGAAAGUGGGAUACAAAACAAAUGUUGGUGGUAAUGAAUUGAAGUGAUGAUCUGAGGAGCUCAUAGUGCUUCAUAAGCAUUAAUUAAUUAAACCCGACCAGAUCCCAGUGAGGUAGGCAUUAUGGCCCAUACUUCACUGCUGGCUGCGGUGUGCUAUUUCUGUCUCAAUAUCAUUUUGUUAAUAUGUAUUCUGAUGCGUGGACUGAAAUGGUGUCUGACUAGUAGAGAUGACUGUGCAUAUAUUUAAGCUGUGAAUAUUUUGCAUGAUGAGACUUCACAUGGGCAACAUUUUUUUUUUUCUUUCAUACAGCCUUGUUCCUGAAUAAAAAGUGUAUGAUAAAUGAGUUAUACAGAAAGCAUUGAAGGGCUGCUGGCAAUGUAUAGUUAUGUACGAUAUAUAGCUCAUUCUGUUACUGAAUUACAGCUAAUAUCUCUUCAUUUUGUUACUGAAAACCUGAGUGCACUUCAAUGAAUAUGAAAUUUUCUUUCUUUUGUAAUAUAAUUUACCUAAUUGCCGUAAGAAUUUAACCUAUGAUUUUAACUGCAAUUAUUAGAGAUGUGAAGAGCACAUAAAUCUUUUAUUAAUAAAUCAUAAAAGUUAUUCUGAGUUUUCAUUGUGAGAAACAUGUUUUGUUUUUAGUACUGAUGUAGAGCUUUGACUCCUAAUGAGUGCUUUCCCCCCUUUUUUUUUCCAUGCUGCUCUAAACAAGAUGUUGUUUAUUACUUGAAACAUUAUAUGUAAGCCCCAAGAAUAUGUUACAUGUGACUGCAGUUUUGGCAGACUUUGAGAAACUGAAGUUUCCAGAAAUUUUGCUAUGUUUAAAAACCAGAGCCAUGUUUUAAGGAAAGAUUUCUACUUCCAAAUGUGU